CUCUCUCCCUGCAAAACCAAAUCAUCUGGUUUUGUCAUAAAAUAACAGAGUUCAGACUUCAGAGUCGAAUUCAUCAAACGUAACUAGAUUACUAGAAGCUUUCUUUUUUGUACGUGCUGCAAAAUGAACAAUUUCUGAAACCAUCUUAUUAUAGCUUGUCCUCAAAAUUGGAGAAGGGGGCGUUUGUUUCCUUCAAACCCUAUUCAGAAGUACACGUCGUCAAAUUGCUACAGGACACAAAGGAGUUGACCAAGGGUAACGCCAAUCAGAGAGAAGCGAGAAUCAAUCAGGAGGGGAUAAAAGGCGAUGCCAAUCGGAGCUCGUCGUUUUCCAAGAGUCCCACAAAGGAACGACCAACCAUCAGUUUCCACUCUCUCCGAGUCGGCUCAACGUGGCAACUGCAAAUUUGAUUUUGUUUUUCCUUUGUUCUUCCGGUUGCAGAUUUCAUUAGAUAAUUAAGAACCCUAAUUGAAGAGGGUGACUUGCAAUGACCUAGUUAAUCGGUGAAUUUGUCUCCAGAUUUUGGAGUUUCAAUUUUUUGUUUGAUCUUUGUGUUUUCCAAUUCUAUUCUUAGUCAUCGAUUUUUAUCGAAUCCGACCAAAUUAAUUUGGUAAAUAUAUACAUACUUAAAUCAUUGGAUAGCGUUAGGUUUAUGAACGAAAAUUCCAAUCAUAAAAAUUACGG
This 684-nucleotide long non-coding RNA is filed under the name Linum usitatissimum (flax). RNAcentral describes it as "long non-coding RNA (LUSI_LNC006932)". The record is from RNAcentral. Lineage: Eukaryota; Viridiplantae; Streptophyta; Magnoliopsida; Malpighiales; Linaceae.